CAAGUAAUUAAGUGCAUGUGGUGGAUGCCUUGGCAGUCAGAGGCGAUGAAAGACGUGAUAGCCUGCGAAAAGCUCCGGGGAGGCGGCAAAUAUCCUUUGAUCCGGAGAUGUCUGAAUGGGGGAACCCACCUACUUUAAGGUAGGUAUUGCAACAUGAAUACAUAGUGUUGCAAGGCGAACGAGGGGAAGUGAAACAUCUCAGUACCCUUAGGAAAAGAAAUCAAUUGAGAUUCCCUCAGUAGCGGCGAGCGAACGGGGAUCAGCCCAUUAAGUUAUGUGUGUUUUAGUGGAACGCUCUGGGAAGUGCGAACGUAGAGGGUGAUAUUCCCGUACACGAAAGGGCACACAUAAUGAUGACGAGUAGGGCGAGGCACGUGAAACCUUGUCUGAAUAUGGGGGGACCAUCCUCCAAGGCUAAAUACUCCUGACUGACCGAUAGUGAACCAGUACCGUGAGGGAAAGGCGAAAAGAACCCCUGUGAGGGGAGUGAAAUAGAUCCUGAAACCGCAUGCAUACAAGCAGUGGGAGCACCUUCGUGGUGUGACUGCGUACCUUUUGUAUAAUGGGUCAGCGACUUAUAUUCAGUAGCGAGGUUAACCGUAUAGGGGAGCCGUAGAGAAAUCGAGUCUUAAUAGGGCGUUUAGUUGCUGGGUAUAGACCCGAAACCAGGCGAUCUAUCCAUGAGCAGGUUGAAGGUUGGGUAACACUAACUGGAGGACCGAACCCACUGUCGUUGAAAAGCCAGGGGAUGACUUGUGGAUAGGGGUGAAAGGCUAAUCAAGCCUGGUGAUAGCUGGUUCUCCCCGAAAGCUAUUUAGGUAGCGCCUCGGACGAAUACCAUAGGGGGUAGAGCACUGUUUCGGCUAGGGGGUCAUCCCGACUUACCAAACCGAUGCAAACUCCGAAUACCUAUGAGUACUAUCCGGGAGACAGACUGCGGGUGCUAACGUCCGUAGUCAAGAGGAAAACAAUCCAGACCGCCAGCUAAGGCCCCAAAAUCAUAGUUAAGUGGGAAACGAUGUGGGAAGGCAUAGACAGCUAGGAGGUUGGCUUAGAAGCAGCCACCCUUUAAAGAAAGCGUAAUAGCUCACUAGUCGAGUCGGCCUGCGCGGAAGAUGUAACGGGGCUAAAACUAUGUGCCGAAGCUGCGGAUGUAUACUUUGUAUACGUGGUAGGGGAGCGUUCUGUAAGCCGAUGAAGGUGUGUUGAGAAGCAUGCUGGAGGUAUCAGAAGUGCGAAUGCUGACGUGAGUAACGACAAAACGGGUGAAAAACCCGUUCGCCGAAAGACCAAGGGUUCCAGUCCAACGUUAAUCGGGGCUGGGUGAGUCGACCCCUAAGGCGAGGCCGAAAGGCGUAGUCGAUGGGAAAAUGGUUAAUAUUCCAUUACUUCUGUGUAAUGCGAUGAGAGGACGAAGAAGGCUAAAUCAGCCUGGCGUUGGUUGUCCAGGUGAAAGGAUGUAGGCAUGUAUCUUAGGCAAAUCCGGGGUACUCUAUGCUGAGAUCUGAUAGCAAGCUGUACUUGUACAGCGAAGUGGUUGAUGCCAUGCUUCCAGGAAAAGUCUCUAAGCUUCAGUUACACAGGAAUCGUACCCGAAACCGACACAGGUGGUCAGGUCGAGUAGACCAAGGCGCUUGAGAGAACUCUGCUGAAGGAACUAGGCAAAAUGGUACCGUAACUUCGGGAGAAGGUACGCUGUUGUUGGUGAUGGAACUCGCUUCCUGAGCUGACGACAGCCGCAGAAACCAGGCCGCUGCAACUGUUUAUUAAAAACAUAGCACUCUGCAAACACGAAAGUGGACGUAUAGGGUGUGAUGCCUGCCCGGUGCUGGAAGGUUAAUUGAUGGGGUUAGCGUAAGCGAAGCUCUUGAUCGAAGCCCCAGUAAACGGCGGCCGUAACUAUAACGGUCCUAAGGUAGCGAAAUUCCUUGUCGGGUAAGUUCCGACCUGCACGAAUGGCAUAAUGAUGGCGGCGCUGUCUCCAGCAGAGGCUCAGUGAAAUCGAAAUCGCUGUGAAGAUGCAGUGUACCCGCGGCUAGACGGAAAGACCCCGUGAACCUUUACUGCAGCUUGACACUGAACUUUGACCUUACUUGUGUAGGAUAGGUGGGAGGCUUUGAAGCUGGAACGCUAGUUCCAGUGGAGCCGUCCUUGAAAUACCACCCUGGUAAUGUUGAGGUUCUAACUCUGUCCCGUGAUCCGGGACGAGGACCGUGUCUGGUGGGUAGUUUGACUGGGGCGGUCUCCUCCUAAAGAGUAACGGAGGAGUACGAAGGUGCGCUCAGCGUGGUCGGAAAUCACGCGUAGAGUAUAAAGGCAAAAGCGCGCUUAACUGCGAGACCCACAAGUCGAGCAGGUACGAAAGUAGGUCUUAGUGAUCCGGUGGUUCUGUAUGGAAGGGCCAUCGCUCAACGGAUAAAAGGUACUCUGGGGAUAACAGGCUGAUACCGCCCAAGAGUUCAUAUCGACGGCGGUGUUUGGCACCUCGAUGUCGGCUCAUCUCAUCCUGGGGCUGAAGCAGGUCCCAAGGGUAUGGCUGUUCGCCAUUUAAAGAGGUACGCGAGCUGGGUUUAGAACGUCGUGAGACAGUUCGGUCCCUAUCUACCGUGGGCGCUGGAAAUUUGAGAGGAUCUGCUCCUAGUACGAGAGGACCAGAGUGGACGAACCUCUGGUGUACCGGUUGUGACGCCAGUCGCAUCGCCGGGUAGCUAUGUUCGGAAGGGAUAACCGCUGAAAGCAUCUAAGCGGGAAGCCUACCUCAAGAUAAGAUUUCCCUAGGACUUUAUGUCCUCUAAAGAGCCGUUCGAGACUAGGACGUUGAUAGGUUGGAUGUGGAAGCAUAGUGAUAUGUGAAGCUGACCAAUACUAAUUGCUCGUGAGGCUUGACUA
Molecule: ribosomal RNA, 2889 nt
Filed under: Acinetobacter baumannii
Lineage: Bacteria; Pseudomonadati; Pseudomonadota; Gammaproteobacteria; Moraxellales; Moraxellaceae
Description: bacterial LSU rRNA
Rfam family: Bacterial large subunit ribosomal RNA
Source: RNAcentral